RNAcentral lists this ribosomal RNA (1327 nucleotides) under uncultured bacterium. RNAcentral's name for it is "bacterial SSU rRNA". It matches the Rfam family "Bacterial small subunit ribosomal RNA", at positions 47 to 1395 of the family's 1533-position model. The record is from RNAcentral.
CCUAACACAUGCAAGUCGAACGAGCGAGAGGAGGUUUACUUCUCAAGCGAGUGGCGAACGGGUGAGUAACGCGUGAGGAACCUGCCUCAAAGAGGGGGACAACAGUUGGAAACGACUGCUAAUACCGCAUAAGCCCACGACCCGGCAUCGGGUAGAGGGAAAAGGAGCAAUCCGCUUUGAGAUGGCCUCGCGUCCGAUUAGCUAGUUGGUGAGGUAAUGGCCCACCAAGGCGACGAUCGGUAGCCGGACUGAGAGGUUGAACGGCCACAUUGGGACUGAGACACGGCCCAGACUCCUACGGGAGGCAGCAGUGGGGAAUAUUGCACAAUGGGGGAAACCCUGAUGCAGCGACGCCGCGUGGAGGAAGAAGGUCUUCGGAUUGUAAACUCCUGUUGUUGAGGAAGAUAAUGACGGUACUCAACAAGGAAGUGACGGCUAACUACGUGCCAGCAGCCGCGGUAAAACGUAGGUCACAAGCGUUGUCCGGAAUUACUGGGUGUAAAGGGAGCGCAGGCGGGAAGACAAGUUGGAAGUGAAAUCCAUGGGCUCAACCCAUGAACUGCUUUCAAAACUGUUUUUCUUGAGUAGUGCAGAGGUAGGCGGAAUUCCCGGUGUAGCGGUGGAAUGCGUAGAUAUCGGGAGGAACACCAGUGGCGAAGGCGGCCUACUGGGCACCAACUGACGCUGAGGCUCGAAAGUGUGGGUAGCAAACAGGAUUAGAUACCCUGGUAGUCCACACUGUAAACGAUGAUUACUAGGUGUUGGAGGGAUUGACCCCUUCAGUGCCGCAGUUAACACAAUAAGUAAUCCACCUGGGGAGUACGACCGCAAGGUUGAAACUCAAAGGAAUUGACGGGGGCCCGCACAAGCAGUGGAGUAUGUGGUUUAAUUCGACGCAACGCGAAGAACCUUACCAAGUCUUGACAUCCUGCGACGGACAUAGAAAUAUGUUUUUCCUUCGGGACGCAGAGACAGGUGGUGCAUGGUUGUCGUCAGCUCGUGUCGUGAGAUGUUGGGUUAAGUCCCGCAACGAGCGCAACCCUUAUGGUCAGUUACUACGCAAGAGGACUCUGGCCAGACUGCCGUUGACAAAACGGAGGAAGGUGGGGAUGACGUCAAAUCAUCAUGCCCUUUAUGACUUGGGCUACGCACGUACUACAAUGGCGUUAAACAAAGAGAAGCAAGACCGCGAGGUGGAGCAAAACUCAGAAACAACGUCCCAGUUCGGACUGCAGGCUGCAACUCGCCUGCACGAAGUCGGAAUUGCUAGUAAUCGCAGAUCAGCAUGCUGCGGUGAAUACGUUCCCGGGCCUUGCACUCACCGCCC